Non-coding RNA from Fukomys damarensis (Damara mole-rat), 373 nucleotides. Lineage: Eukaryota; Metazoa; Chordata; Mammalia; Rodentia; Bathyergidae. The record is from the annotation of a RefSeq genome assembly.
AGAGAGCAUGGAAAUGAGGGCCCCUACUCAGGUCCUGGGGAUCCUGAUGCUCUGGCUUCCAGGUGCACUAUGUGACAUCCAGAUGACCCAGUCUCCAUCCUACCUGUCUGCGUCUUUAGGAGACACAGUCACCAUUACUUGCCAGGCCAGUCAGAGUGUUAGAAAUUACUUAAACUGGUAUCAACAGAAACCAGGGAAAGCUCCUACUCUCCUGAUUUGUAAUACUAACAAUUUGCAAUCUGGAGUGUCAUCUAGGUUCAGUGGCAGUGGAUCCAAUACAGAUUUCACUCUCUCCAUCAGCAACUUGGAGCCUGAAGAUGUUGCAACUUAUUACUGUCUACAGCAUAAUAAUUUCCCUCCCACAGUGAUAUAA